Molecule: microRNA, 20 nt
Filed under: Monodelphis domestica (gray short-tailed opossum)
Lineage: Eukaryota; Metazoa; Chordata; Mammalia; Didelphimorphia; Didelphidae
Description: mdo-miR-7362-5p
Source: miRBase by way of RNAcentral
ACAGCGUUGCCCCCCUGUGG